UUAACUUUUACUUUAAUAACAUAUAUAUGUAUGUGUGUGUGUGUGUGUGUGUGUGUGUGUGUGUGUAUACACACACAUACAUACAUACAUGCAUACAGC
This 99-nucleotide microRNA precursor is filed under the name Mus musculus (house mouse). Its description in RNAcentral is "predicted gene, 54352 (ENSMUSG00002075837.1)". The record is from RNAcentral. Lineage: Eukaryota; Metazoa; Chordata; Mammalia; Rodentia; Muridae.